GAUGAACGCUGGCGGCGUGCCUAAUACAUGCAAGUCGAGCGAACGGACGAGAAGCUUGCUUCUCUGAUGUUAGCGGCGGACGGGUGAGUAACACGUGGAUAACCUACCUAUAAGACUGGGAUAACUUCGGGAAACCGGAGCUAAUACCGGAUAAUAUUUUGAACCGCAUGGUUCAAAAGUGAAAGACGGUCUUGCUGUCACUUAUAGAUGGAUCCGCGCUGCAUUAGCUGGUUGGUAAGGUAACGGCUUACCAAGGCAACGAUGCAUAGCCGACCUGAGAGGGUGAUCGGCCACACUGGAACUGAGACACGGUCCAGACUCCUACGGGAGGCAGCAGUAGGGAAUCUUCCGCAAUGGGCGAAAGCCUGACGGAGCAACGCCGCGUGAGUGAUGAAGGUCUUCGGAUCGUAAAACUCUGUUAUUAGGGAAGAACAUAUGUGUAAGUAACUGUGCACAUCUUGACGGUACCUAAUCAGAAAGCCACGGCUAACUACGUGCCAGCAGCCGCGGUAAUACGUAGGUGGCAAGCGUUAUCCGGAAUUAUUGGGCGUAAAGCGCGCGUAGGCGGUUUUUUAAGUCUGAUGUGAAAGCCCACGGCUCAACCGUGGAGGGUCAUUGGAAACUGGAAAACUUGAGUGCAGAAGAGGAAAGUGGAAUUCCAUGUGUAGCGGUGAAAUGCGCAGAGAUAUGGAGGAACACCAGUGGCGAAGGCGACUUUCUGGUCUGUAACUGACGCUGAUGUGCGAAAGCGUGGGGAUCAAACAGGAUUAGAUACCCUGGUAGUCCACGCCGUAAACGAUGAGUGCUAAGUGUUAGGGGGUUUCCGCCCCUUAGUGCUGCAGCUAACGCAUUAAGCACUCCGCCUGGGGAGUACGACCGCAAGGUUGAAACUCAAAGGAAUUGACGGGGACCCGCACAAGCGGUGGAGCAUGUGGUUUAAUUCGAAGCAACGCGAAGAACCUUACCAAAUCUUGACAUCCUUUGACAACUCUAGAGAUAGAGCUUUCCCCUUCGGGGGACAAAGUGACAGGUGGUGCAUGGUUGUCGUCAGCUCGUGUCGUGAGAUGUUGGGUUAAGUCCCGCAACGAGCGCAACCCUUAAGCUUAGUUGCCAUCAUUAAGUUGGGCACUCUAAGUUGACUGCCGGUGACAAACCGGAGGAAGGUGGGGAUGACGUCAAAUCAUCAUGCCCCUUAUGAUUUGGGCUACACACGUGCUACAAUGGACAAUACAAAGGGCAGCGAAACCGUGAGGUCAAGCAAAUCCCAUAAAGUUGUUCUCAGUUCGGAUUGUAGUCUGCAACUCGACUACAUGAAGCUGGAAUCGCUAGUAAUCGUAGAUCAGCAUGCUACGGUGAAUACGUUCCCGGGUCU
This 1372-nucleotide ribosomal RNA is filed under the name uncultured bacterium. RNAcentral describes it as "bacterial SSU rRNA". It matches the Rfam family "Bacterial small subunit ribosomal RNA", at positions 28 to 1381 of the family's 1533-position model. The record is from RNAcentral.